GACGAACGCUGGCGGCGUGCUUAACACAUGCCAGUCGAACGGAAAGGCCCUGCUUUUGUGGGGUGCUCGAGUGGCGAACGGGUGAGUAACACGUGAGUAACCUGCCCUUGACUUUGGGAUAACUUCAGGAAACUGGGGCUAAUACCGGAUAGGAGCUCCUGCUGCAUGGUGGGGGUUGGAAAGUUUCGGCGGUUGGGGAUGGACUCGCGGCUUAUCAGCUUGUUGGUGGGGUAGUGGCUUACCAAGGCUUUGACGGGUAGCCGGCCUGGGAGGGUGACCGGCCACAUUGGGACUGAGAUACGGCCCAGACUCCUACGGGAGGCAGCAGUGGGGAAUAUUGCACAAUGGGCGGAAGCCUUAUGCAGCAACGCCGCGUGCGGGAUGACUGCCUUCGGGUUGUAAACCGCUUUCGCCUGUGACGAAGCGUGAGUUACGGUAAUGGGUAAAGAAGCACCGGCUAACUACGUG
RNAcentral lists this ribosomal RNA (468 nucleotides) under uncultured bacterium. RNAcentral's name for it is "partial 16S ribosomal RNA". It matches the Rfam family "Bacterial small subunit ribosomal RNA", at positions 28 to 507 of the family's 1533-position model. The record is from RNAcentral.